Molecule: long non-coding RNA, 274 nt
Filed under: Panax ginseng (ginseng)
Lineage: Eukaryota; Viridiplantae; Streptophyta; Magnoliopsida; Apiales; Araliaceae
Description: long non-coding RNA (PGIN_LNC004036)
Source: RNAcentral
UUCAAGUGAAGAAAGCCAAGAUGAAGGAGAUGGAUUACGCUUUUAAUUCGGCGAUUGAUAGGGCCCAGGAUCGAGUAUUUUAUUAUCCACCUCAGUUCGAAGACUCGCCGUGGUUCGUGAUGGAUCGCAGAACGGCUUAUCGUAUCAUGGAGGAGGAACGUCGAGAAGCCUUAUGACGUCUGUAUAUGCCUAGAUAGAAUAGGAGUGAUAAUAAUAUGUGGUUAAUUAUGUGAAUAAAUAAAUUGUGAAUCCCUUAUUUUGAGAUAAAUAAAAG